UACGUAGGGAGCAAGCGUUAUCCGGAUUUAUUGGGCGUAAAGGGUGCGUAGGCGGUUUGUUAAGUAUGAAAUUAAAGCCUGAGGCUUAACCUCAGUUCGUUUCAUAAACUGGCAGACUAGAGUAUGGUAGAGGUAAACGGAAUUUCUAGUGUAGCGGUUGAAUGCGUAGAUAUUAGAAAGAACACCAGUGGCGAAGGCGGUUUACUGGACCAAAACUGACGCUGAGGCACGAAAGCGUGGGGAGCAAAUA
RNAcentral lists this ribosomal RNA (250 nucleotides) under uncultured prokaryote. RNAcentral's name for it is "partial 16S ribosomal RNA". It matches the Rfam family "Bacterial small subunit ribosomal RNA", at positions 524 to 774 of the family's 1533-position model. The record is from RNAcentral.